GGGCGGUUAGCUCAGUUGGUUUAGAGCGCCUGCCUUACAAGCAGGAGGCCGGGGGUUCAAAUCCCUCACCGCCCA
Molecule: transfer RNA, 75 nt
Filed under: Bacteroidota bacterium
Lineage: Bacteria; Pseudomonadati; Bacteroidota
Also listed under: 1 other name
Description: Bacteroidetes bacterium tRNA-Val
Rfam family: tRNA
About the family: Transfer RNA (tRNA) molecules are approximately 80 nucleotides in length. Their secondary structure includes four short double-helical elements and three loops (D, anti-codon, and T loops).
Source: RNAcentral